This 286-nucleotide non-coding RNA is filed under the name Streptomyces afghaniensis 772. RNAcentral describes it as "Bacterial large subunit ribosomal RNA". It matches the Rfam family "Bacterial large subunit ribosomal RNA", at positions 176 to 416 of the family's 2925-position model. Lineage: Bacteria; Bacillati; Actinomycetota; Actinomycetes; Kitasatosporales; Streptomycetaceae. The record is from Rfam by way of RNAcentral.
GGAGGGAACGCGGGGAAGUGAAACAUCUCAGUACCCGCAGGAAGAGAAAACAACCGUGAUUCCGGGAGUAGUGGCGAGCGAAACCGGAUGAGGCCAAACCGUAUGCGUGUGAGACCCGGCAGGGGUUGCGUAUACGGGGUUGUGGGAUCUCUCUUUCACGGUCUGCCGGCCGUGAGACGAGUCAGAAACCGUUGAUGUAGGCGAAGGACAUGCGAAAGGUCCGGCGUAGAGGGUAAGACCCCGUAGUCGAAACGUCAGCGGCUCGUUUGAGAGACACCCAAGUACG